AUAAAAUUCAAAACUUUAGACUAUAAUUAGACUUUUGUCUGAAAAUAAUUUUCACAGCCAAAAAACUCACCGGAAACCACCACUCAAGAAAACAACACUAGUAGUAUCAUAUAUGCAAUUUAUUUUUUACUUUAUAGAGAGAAUUUUUUUCAAGAAUCUUGAAAAUUUAGAGUUUUAUGAUUGUGGGGGUUUUUGUGAAAAAGUGAUUGGUUGUGUGAAAAAGGGGUGUAUUGGGUGGUGGCUGAUGAAGCUAAAGGAGUGAGCUUUUGAGUUUUGGAAGAGCAAAAGGGAGGGACGACGUCGUUUUGAAGUUGUGUAGUGAUGAAGAUUCUUGUUAGAUUCCUUUUUAUGUUAUUGGUGAUCUUUAAUCCUAAUGCUCAACAGACUGCACGAGCAUUCACAGGAACAUAUGGGAUUAAUUACGGAAGAAUUGCAGAUAAUAUCCCUUCACCUGAUAAAGUGGUUAAACUUCUUCGGGCAGCAAAAAUUAAGAAUGUUAGAAUUUAUGAUGCAGAGCCUAGUGUACUUAAUGCGUUUAAAGGAACAGGGCUUGAGCUAGUGGUUGGACUUCCGAAUGGGUUUGUAAAAGAAAUGAGUGCUAAUGCAGAUCAUGCUCUGACUUGGGUAAAAGAUAAUGUGAAGGCAUUCCUUCCUGAUACCCGCAUUGUUGGCAUCGCUGUUGGAAAUGAGGUUUUGGGGGGUAGUGACAAUGAACUGGAGGUAGCCCUUCUGAAUGCUGUAAAGAAUGUAUACAAUGCAACAAAAAAGCUUGGGAUAAGUGAUGUUGUUCAGAUAUCGACUGCACACUCGCAGGCUGUUUUUGCUGAUUCGUUCCCUCCUUCUUAUUGUGUAUUUAAAGAUGGUGUUGCUCAGUUGAUGAAGCCACUUUUAGAGUUCUUCUCGAAAAUUGGAUCUCCGUUCUGUCUAAAUGCUUAUCCAUUUUUGGCUUACACGUACAACUCAGAUAAAAUAGACAUAAAUUAUGCUCUUUUUCAGCCAAAUGAAGGCAUUGUUGACAAUAAAACUCAUCUACAUUAUGACAACUUGCUCGAUGCUCAGAUUGAUGCAGCAUAUGCAGCUCUAGAGGAUGCUGGUUUCAGGAAAAUGGAAGUCAUUGUUACGGAAACAGGCUGGGCCUCUGAUGGGGAUGAGAAUGAACCUGCUGCCACCCCAAGUAAUGCUAGAACAUAUAAUUAUAAUCUGCGUAAAAGGCUCGCCAAGAGGAAAGGAACUCCAUUGAGGCCGAAAAAAAUGUUGAAGGCAUAUAUUUUUGCACUCUUCAAUGAGUAUCAAAAGCCAGGUCAAUCAUCAGAGAAGAACUUCGGACUCUUCAAAGCUGAUGGUAGUAUAUCUUAUGAUGUUGGUUUCUCUGGGCUGCAAGAUAUUUCAGCUGCAUCUUCGCUUUUUUCUUUGAAGGAGUAGGACUGGAAAGAGAUUGAGAGUAUGUACCAGAGUUGACGAGGGGGGUGAAAGGGGUUAGAUCCAUUGGCUAAAACUAGACUUCUUUUCUGUUACUGAGUACUUCAGAAGCUUCUUGUUCUGCUACUUUGAACUUUUAUAGAAAGAGGAAAUGAGCAGACGGAAAAAAAGAAAAGGAAACAAGAGGAGAAGGCAACAUGGAUAUCAUGCUGUUCUUGGUGUCUCCGAGACUGUUUGGUGCCUGAGUUGGAACUUUGGAAAUACUGGGAAUGCAAGCUCAAGGGUACUAUUUGUCAGCGACAGCAAUCACAACUUCAAUAUCGAUUCUUCUGUCGAGGUUAUGACAACAUUUUUUGAUCUCUCAUCUUAUACGAAUUACCAGAUUAGCGUCUUCGUAUUUCCUAGUUAUAAAAACUGCUACAUCAACAACAUUAGGAAAUGCAGUCUCUUAGAUCUUCAUCGCUAGUCGACCAUGGAGAUUGCUGAUUGUUUUUGAAUUUUUCAGCAAUGCACUAUCAGUAUAUAUGAAAUAAGUUCUUUCUUGGUUUAUCUUG
Solanum lycopersicum (tomato) is the source of this 1973-nucleotide RNA transcript. It is a transcript of the gene named glucan endo-1,3-beta-glucosidase 11, with no coding region annotated. NCBI's taxonomy places the organism in Eukaryota, Viridiplantae, Streptophyta, Magnoliopsida, Solanales, Solanaceae. The record is from RefSeq and is a predicted model, not a curated record.